GCAGUGGUGGUUCAUUGGAAGAAUCCUCGCCUUCCAUUCAGGAGACACAGGUUCGAUUUCUGGCCAAUGCA
Molecule: transfer RNA, 71 nt
Filed under: Loxodonta africana (African savanna elephant)
Lineage: Eukaryota; Metazoa; Chordata; Mammalia; Proboscidea; Elephantidae
Rfam family: tRNA
About the family: Transfer RNA (tRNA) molecules are approximately 80 nucleotides in length.
Source: Rfam by way of RNAcentral